GUGGGAACGAAAGAAGAUCACAUGACGAUCAUAUGAGCUUUUCUAUUCCUUUUCCCUUUUUAUAAGUAGGGCCUUCAGGAAUUAAAAGAGAGCAAAAGAUACUUUAGGGGAGCAGAGAGGAGAAAGAAAGAGGAUUCUUUUUGGAGUUAAGGAGAUAAGACGGGAUUUUUAUAAAGUACCAAAACUCUGACCUCUAGAUGGCAGAGGAUGGUGGGGAGCAAGCA
This 224-nucleotide long non-coding RNA is filed under the name Elaeis guineensis (African oil palm). RNAcentral's name for it is "long non-coding RNA (EGUI_LNC031575)". Lineage: Eukaryota; Viridiplantae; Streptophyta; Magnoliopsida; Arecales; Arecaceae. The record is from RNAcentral.